RNAcentral lists this long non-coding RNA (1231 nucleotides) under Capsella grandiflora. RNAcentral's name for it is "long non-coding RNA (CGRA_LNC000534)". The record is from RNAcentral. Lineage: Eukaryota; Viridiplantae; Streptophyta; Magnoliopsida; Brassicales; Brassicaceae.
GAACCAGUUACGAUUUGGUUUUUGUCUAGCUAGCUUUGAUGAAUUAAGAGGUUUAGAGUGAUGCGACUUCCCAUUGCUGUCUUAGUGGAGAAAACAUAUGAUUAGAUUAAAUCAUGUAAGUGGCAGAUAUUUUUUUUGAAUAACGUUUCACUAACUCCAUGACUUACUACUCAAAAUUUUAGAGAAGAAAUUUUAUCCUAGAAAUUCUUCAUCACUACGUGAACACUUGCAUCACACACCUGCAUCACUAUCUCAGUUUGAAUCAAGUAAGUAGCCUCGUUUUUGUGGAGUAAGUUGCAGAGCUGGUUUUAUUUUUUGUUUAUGCAGUUCUUUACUACUUAAUCUCGAUUUACUAGAAAAACAUGUAAAUCAGAACCUGAAUUUUUCCAUGUCAGUUAUUUCCAUGUGCUGUUGGGAGAAAUAAGUAGUCAAUUUCAGAGAUUGGAUUUGCUGCUCCACUUUAAUUUCCUUAGGCAGCUCGUCCAUGCAAUUGUCCUAUCUCUUAUUUUCUGUUUCAUUCACCAAGGAACUUCACCGUUUUCAUUGAGAGGUUCGUUAUGUUUCAGUGUAGUCGUAUUGUAUGCAUUGAUGUUUUAAUGACACUGUUUGCAGUUAAUGAUAAAACAAUAAUAAAGUGAACAACUUGUAGUGUUCUGUUAUUUAGACAAAUACGUAUCAGAUUGCACGGAUAAGAUUUGCUACUCCACCUUAAGCUAAUUAUGCAGCUCUUCCAUUUGAUUCUCUUAUACUUACAAAAAACGUUGACCUAAACAUUCACGUUAUCAAUGAUAACAAUUACGUUAGAAGAAACUCUACACUUGAGCUGUAUUUAAUUGUGUUUUGGUUUGGUGUUUUAGUAUCGCUGUUCAUCUUGUUUAACGCAUGUCUUUAUUUUCUCGCAUCAAGUAAAAGAAACACUACAAUUUUUUCCGGGGAUUUAUUUAUACUUCCAUCUCUUCCAUGGCACAUAGAAUCAUAUGUCAACUAUGAACUGGUUACAAAAUUUCCCACAAGCACAACUUCCAAUUACUGUAUGUGAGGAUGCUCUCUAUCUCGAAACUAUGCAAGUGUAAGAUCUUCUUCGGUCUCUGUUUGGGUUUGUUUAAUAGGAAGUGUACAUUCUUAUCUCGGAUAACCCUUCUUCUUUGUUUCCCUUUGUGUAGCUUCUGAAUUCUUUUCCUUUACUUUUUCAGAACCUGCAAAUUUUUGGAUGCAGUUCUCUUCUUCUGAG